This is a non-coding RNA of Oryctolagus cuniculus (rabbit), 491 nucleotides long. The record is from RefSeq and is a predicted model, not a curated record. Lineage: Eukaryota; Metazoa; Chordata; Mammalia; Lagomorpha; Leporidae.
GAGAGACUAUGCAUUGUCUUUAUUUACCUGCAUUGUGAGAAUGUUCACAUAUUUCCUUGCCGACAUUAUGUGUUUGGCUAAAUGUUCUGGCUCUGAUGCAGUGAAGUACAAGUACUGCAUGGCUUAUGUGGUAUUUACAUCCUAUUGCCUUGCUAAAGACCAAGAAGAUCUGUCUUUGAAAAUACAUUUGACUUUCAUAAUUUCAGAUACAACAUUGUGGCCGUGAAGCUUUACACGUACGUAUAUGUCCCUGGAUAUACUCAUUUUGCUACAAGCAUCGAUAUGGCACUGACUCUCGGUCCCUCACUUGACGUGAGGGUAGAAACCAGUGAGCAAUUAAGCUCUCAACUGGCAAAGAGCCAACGAGAAUCAAAAGAACUGAAGGAGAAGCUUCUUAGAGCUGAGGCUAAGGCCUACCUCCUGGCAAAGCACCUGCGGGACCACAAUUGUGAAGAGUAUGAAGAUCUAAUUGAAUCAAUGCUGAGGGAGCC